RNAcentral lists this long non-coding RNA (4785 nucleotides) under Triticum aestivum (bread wheat). RNAcentral's name for it is "long non-coding RNA (TAES_LNC006667)". Lineage: Eukaryota; Viridiplantae; Streptophyta; Magnoliopsida; Poales; Poaceae. The record is from RNAcentral.
UCUCUGUCUCUCGUCUCCUUUCGCCGCCGCCGUCGCCGACGCUCGCCCUCCUCGAUUCGACGCCGUUCUUCGGGUGGUUCCUCUACCUCUCGCGGAUCUCUUGUGCUCUGCUCGUUUCUUACUCUCUUUCUUGUUUCUCUGCUUGAUUUGCAGUUCAGACGGUGCCGUGCCGUUGGGGUUGCCUUGCCGGUCGACCGGAGAUGGAGCUUAUCGUUUGAGCCUCUGCCCUCCCCGUCGAGGUCGCUCCUCACCAUCGCAGGCACGGUCUGGUCGGGGCCACGACGACGAGAGGAGCAGCAGAGGAUAACUUUUCCCCACGGAUCCUUCUCGUCUUCCACGUGAUUCGAGUCUCCUCUCUCCAUCAGGUACGAACUCGAUCCGCCUCCCCGCAGGAUGAUUCUCCGUUGAUUUCUUUUCCUGUCGCGUCGAUCCGGGCGGAUCUGGGACGGAAUCAGCCGCACCUGAUGCUGGGUCGUUUCAUCGAUUUGAUCCUGUUCGCCCCCGCUCUGUUUGCUUGAUGAUCCAUUCGAUUGGGGAUAAGCAAAGGGGUUCGGGGAUUGAUGAUUUGUUGGGAAGUUAGCCUCUGCCUACACUGCUUGAUGUAACUAUUCAUCCAUCCAUAGCGAGAGAUGUGUUGCUACUGCUGCUGUAGGUUGACAUUUGUGCGCUCUUGUUGCUGUAGAUUUGAUGCACCGCCACCUCCUCUGCUCUCUUCUCCUCCCUCCAGGGUUGGUUUGGGUGCAGGGGUGGUUAUUCUUGGGUGUUAGCCGUUUUAAUCCCGCUGGAUGAUUAGCUGUACUUGUUCUUCAGUUUUGUCAGAGAGAAACAGGAACAUGCAGCUUGAGCUUGUUCAAGUGGAUGGAGUUGUUUCCUGUUCCUGCAUCCGCAUUCGUGGGAUGGCACGCAAUAGCAGCAGCGAGUGCGGCGACUUAGUGGAUGCGUGAGUAGCUGUGGGAUGGCGCAGCUGUUAGCUUGAUCGUGUCCGGCUGAAUCGUUAUUUCAGUUAGCUUGUAACACUGGCAGACUAUAAAUAAGAUGAGGGGAAACUCUGCUUUUCUUGUUCCGGAGAGAGACGCACAUGGAUGGUACAGCCGUUGUGUUCUUUAUUUGUACCACCUGCAACAAAUUCAUCGACCGAGCUAGCUUCCAACUCGUUUUUGCCAUGGUUGUUGGUUGGUCCUACCUAGGAAAAAUCUCAAUCCAUUGUCUUGGUUCAGUUUACAUAGGGCUCUCCAUGCCCAAGAUGAGAAAAUCUUGCUGUCAAUUUGUUUGAUGCCACAAUUGGCGUUAUUUUCUUACCAUUAUAUUAUAUUUGCCACUGAAUGUUCAACCUUUAAUCUUUGCUUUUGCAAAGCCAGGCUUUAUGUACUGUUUGCUUGUGUUUGCUUUCUGUGCUGCAAAAGUAGCUCAUUCAUUCAUCGCCGAUUUGGCACGUGCGACCAAUGUGCACAUGCUGCAUUUAGAUUCCAGCCUAACUACUAGCUUUCAGUUAAAGCUUUUUAGACCAAGCCAUCUCGGUUUCUUGUGUUUUCGCCUAACUAGCUUUUUAUUCUUCUUCUUCAGGUUUUGAAGGCGGUUUUGUGUAGAACAGCCACGGAGCAGAAACAACGAACAUGCUGCUUCAGCAACAGCGUAAUGAUCCUGAUGAUACUCUUAUCAUUUUGUUAACGUAAUGUGUGUUCUGUCAAUGCUCGCUCCGGAUGCUAGCUAGACCUACUGGGUAGCAUAGCUAAUUCUUUGCCUAUCUUCACAACAUUCAAGAGCUCUUUAGUCCUGCCAAAGCAAGGUUUCGAUGAUUCCCUCACACAAAAUAUUCAUAUUUGGUCGUGCCUGCAUGAUGCGUGUGUGCAUGAUGGAUGGUCAUGCACUACUGUACUAGCUAGAUAAUAAGCUUGUUUUGCUACUGAAUGAUUGAACGGUGUCUCAGUUUGUACCUCAGUUAGCUCACCGCCUAAAAUUGCGACGGGAUAGGCACUGUUUGGUUCGUGCUCCCAUUCUUGGUGGGCUAAACAUAUUUGUUUGUUUGAUUUGGAGCAGCAGGCGCUUUCCAUCGACAACCGGGACUCCACGCCUAAGCUGUUGAUUACCUCAUUUUAUUCAUCUUCUCCGUAUAUUCAUUCGAUUGCCUGCUACAUUCUUCUUCAUUGCACGGGCAUGCAUCUUGGCUCAUGACCAACCGAAAUUAGUAGUUCACCUGCUUGCUAAAUUUAUUUUUAUGCCUUCUGUUUUGUCGAAUUUUACUGAGUAAGCAACUGGGAGUUGCAUCCAACCUUUGUCGGUUCAGCUUCUCUUUUAUGUUCUGUAGAUAGAUGUUGGUUCAAUGCUGUUAAUUUUGAGCUUCUCUCUUUUAUGUUCUAUAGAUAGGUGUUAGUUGUUCGCAUGUUGUACAAUAGCCAGCUCAACUAUACAUGUCUCCUUUUUUUGAGCCAAUUAAUGUGAUGUAUGAGUCAAAUCAUAUUACUAAUUAUUAUUGUCCGGGUUGAAGAGAAGAAUCUAUGACAGGGAGAGACUUGCUUUGCAAAACAUGUGUUUUCGUUGAAGACUUGCUUGCUGUGUGCCAUGGCUAUGUGUGAUGCUGAUCAUUGAAUUAUGUACUGCUGAUCAUUGGAUUAUGGUGCCAUGCUUAGGCAUAUUAAGUGUUUGUAUUAGGAUUUUUAAAUAUUCUCAGGUCAUGCUUGUUCUAAGUUUGCUUAGUCAUGUAAAUGAUGGUCGUCCAUUGGCGGAGUGCUUAGAUGGUGGUUAUGUGAAGGAUGUUGUCUUCUACAAGCAGCAAGAAAAAUUGUUGUUCAAAAACAUAUCUAAAGGCCAACAUGAAUCAUCAAGACUGUCAACUGAGUCUGGACCAUACAUCAAUUGCAACGGGUUUUAGGAAUGCAUCACUAUAUUGAUUUUGGUUUAUACAUGAACUGCAGAGAGUUUUAUAAAUGUAUCAUCAUAUUGUUUUGGGUUUAUAUAUGAAUUGCAAAAUGUUUUAGGCAUGUGAAAAUCAGAGCUCAGGCGGCAGGCGAUUUUUUUUCUUGCUUCUAAUGCCAGGAUGAUGUUCUGUAUACUAAAAAGGACUCGUGCACACUUGCUUUGCUCCUUAGUGUUUAUGAUCAGUUGACAAACAUUAUAAUAGGAUAUACACAUUGCUUCAAAACUGAGUAUGUUCCUUGGUGAUGGUGUAUUUAUUAUGAAAAUAAAUAGGACUGCUUACCCAUGGUGAUGUGGUAUUGCUACUCGAUUACUUACCCUGUUUCUGUGACAAAGGCCCGUGAUAGAUAUGGUUAGACACAUAUUGAGCGUCCAAUUUCAUAAAUAUUGAGCAUACAGUUUCAACUUCAACUUAAACAUGAGAUUGUCUUGCUGUCGAGUUGUGUUCAGUUCUUUCCAUGUAGAACUUACUAGAAAUUCUUGCAUACAUCCUAAACAAAUAAAGAGCUGCAUGCAUUUAAAUUAAGCAGUUCCAAAGAAAGAAUUAUUUCAAGUUAUUUUGUUUGGAGAUGAGUUGCCUUUUCUACACCUUUGUGUUAAGGAUGGAGCCUCCACAGUGCCUAUGAGCCAUGCUUUUUCCCACCCAGUAAAAUGGUCUAUUUUCAAGUGGCAUCAUACGGUGAAGGAGGGGAUCUGGAUCAAGAGCCGUAAUGGUGCUUGUGAUGGCAUGUCUAGCACUUGCUCGACCCUGGAGUCUGACUUCUUCUUGCAAGUAAGCUCCUUUCUCUCUUCUAUGCCCCCCACCUCGCUUGUGAGGAUCUCUGGUUGGAUUUGGGUAACUAGAACCCAAGAGAUGUAAUCCUAUUUGGAUAUGAACUGUGUAUACUAGCUUUAUUUAGUUUAUAGGAGUAGAUUUUAUAGAUGAACUGUGUGUGCUAGCUUGAUAGUGAUACAUGCCAUAUCUCUGGAUUGACUCCAUGGGGUAUCCAUUAACGUCUGAGGUUUCACAAGGAAAUGAGUUUCUUGCAUUCUCAUGUUGAAAAGAAUUAAAGAAACAUAGCAGAAUAUGGUGCCAAAGUUUUUAGUUCUUAUUGGGUUCGUCCAUCUAUCAAGGUUUGAUGAAAAUAUCAACUUGCUUUGUAGGAUUUGUAUCAUGUAUCUUUGUUUCUACAAGAAAUCUAAUUGGAAUUGGUCUAUUGUCUUGCACAUGUACUUUCUUUUACCGUUUAAACAUUUCAACCACUUACUUAUGUUGUCUCUAAACCAUUUCCGAUGACUCAGGUUGACCAUACUAUUGUGAGAAUCUCAGCCAGGAUCAUUCUUUAUAUCAUGUUGGAUCAUCUUGGAAUUUGUAGAGCCAUUUACCAUCGAAGGAUGUACUCACAGAACAAAUCAGUGUGACUAUGCUUUUCUACACUUCUGUCCAAAGUAAUGGGAUAUGUAUUCUGUACUGUACAGCUACCCUCUAAUGCACUACUCAGCCUUCAAUCUCUGUAUGUACAAAUGACUUGAUCUAAUUAUUAUGAAUGACAUAUGGAGUGUGCUGCUUUCUAUAUAAAUGGUUUGCUCUAAUUCUGAUUUAUCAUACCGCAUUGCUUUUGAUCUAUUCCUUUUUGCCAAACUUGAUGCGUCAAGCUUUGAGCUACUAUACUGACAGCGAAGGUAAAAUUCCACAAUGUACAAGUUCAUAUCACCUACUAAUCCACAUGUACUAUACUGCAGCAUGCUCAUAUCACCUACUAAUCCACAAGUACAAGUUCUAUGUCAAAGAUAAUCGUUCUCUCUGCUAAAAGCAUGGGCUCUGCAUUAUGUUUCUACUUUCAUUCCUUCCUAUCCUAUAUUAGUGCUUUUGGUACCGAACUUAAUGAUGAG